Molecule: transfer RNA, 80 nt
Filed under: Ipomoea nil (Japanese morning glory)
Lineage: Eukaryota; Viridiplantae; Streptophyta; Magnoliopsida; Solanales; Convolvulaceae
Rfam family: tRNA
About the family: Transfer RNA (tRNA) molecules are approximately 80 nucleotides in length. Their secondary structure includes four short double-helical elements and three loops (D, anti-codon, and T loops).
Source: Rfam by way of RNAcentral
GAUGGUUUGGCCAAGUAGUCUAAGGCGCUAAAUUUAGGCUUUAGUGUAAGAGGAUGUGGGUUCAAAUCCUACAGCCGUCA